UUGGCCCUGAAUCAAGGCCACCGGUUUGCUGUAGCCGUUGGUUUCAAGCAGGAGCCCAGAGGAACGUCUUCCUGUGGUCUGUUGGCCGUUCCAGAACCCCAGACAGGAGCGGCCAGUUCAGUUGGAAGUGACACAC
This is a small nucleolar RNA of Crocodylus porosus (Australian saltwater crocodile), 136 nucleotides long. Lineage: Eukaryota; Metazoa; Chordata; Crocodylia; Crocodylidae. The record is from Ensembl.